Monopterus albus (swamp eel) is the source of this 1435-nucleotide long non-coding RNA. RefSeq lists it as uncharacterized. NCBI's taxonomy places the organism in Eukaryota, Metazoa, Chordata, Actinopteri, Synbranchiformes, Synbranchidae. The transcript is spliced from 3 exons. The record is from RefSeq and is a predicted model, not a curated record.
UUGUUUUAUUAAUGAUGAAAUACAUCAUUUGCCACUGGUGACAAGCUGAUCUAUCAGCCCCUGUCAGCAGCAUAACUUUAUUUUCACUGUUAAAUUAAAACAUGGUUUCUAUUGUACAGAAUCUUUUUUCUCACUUUUUGUGUUUUUCAGUGUUAGUUCAGUGCAAAAUAUAUGGAUUAACAAUGUGUUUUUGACUUUACAGGUCAAGUUGGUCAACCCAUAACACGUCGCGUAGCCAUCCUCAUCAUCAUUGCACUGGUGAUGCACUGAAAUGGGGUGACCCUUACCCAGCAAGACUAAGGAAACCCUAAUAAAUCAUAUGAUUUUAGAAGACUUCAUGGGGUUUAAGAUGAGGACUCCAUCACCUUUCAAUGAAAACUAUGCAUUCACAUACCUUUUGUGGUGUGGAGGACCUCUGUGUGCGUUUCAUGGAAAAUGGAGGACAGUUUUUUAUAAUGAAAUCAGAAAUGAUUACUGGCAAUCACACCAAGUCCACCAGUUAGCGAGUGAAGAGGCGAACACAUAUCACUACGCUAGCAUUCAGGACGACUGGAGACAGCUAAGGAGACAUUGUAGAGAAAUAACCGUUAUGGGGCAGUCAGAAUGUCAGGCAGUAAAUGUGAAGAACACUGUGUCACAGUAAAUUAGUGAAGCCAAACCCGCUGUCAUAAUGGAAUAUCUGCUGAUAAAUACUUAAUAUCCAUCAUGUACCUUGUUCACCACCUCAGCAGCUAGUAUUACAUUGUUAGCAAAGUUAGAUAGGGAGCUGUAUGAUGCUAGCGCAAUUAGGCUAUGUUUUAAGAAGUGUCAUUCCUGUCUGACCUAGCUACCACUUACCACUGUCUUUUUGCCACUCAGUAUUAAGAUGCAGAAAGGGCAGCAGAAGAUUGACACCUUUUUCAAAAUAUCUAUUGUAAGUGAUUUCUUAAUGUUCUGUAGGUGGGCAUUAAUUAAGGGAGGCUAAUUUUGAGGCUGAAAAUUAAGUCUUAUUCUUUAUCACUGCAUCCUGCUUUUGUAGGAUAGUCAGUUGCCAGAGACCUCAGUUGUGUCAGAGGGAGCAAAGGGAGGUUCACAGCAAACAGACACACAUUUAGGAUUCAAAUGCCUCGUAAUGUUUAUGUGAAGUUACAGUUUUUGAAAGAGAUAUAUUUAAGGAAGAGAGGCAAAUUGUGGGUGUCUCGGUGUGUUUCUGGUGGAUGGAUAUAAAAUUCCACAGUUUCCUUUUAAAUGUUUUGAUUAGGAUGAAGGUGAGCACCAUGACCCAAACCCGCCUCAACAGUGUUGCUGUGUGCCGUGUACAUAAAGACAAGCUGGAUAGGGUGAACAGAAAAAUGAUUGUGGAUCAAUUUGUCUCUUUUAAGGAAAACAGAGUACUUUUGGUUCUUUUAAUUGUACUGAGUGAAGGUUCAAAUGUUCAUAUAUCCAGUGUUUAAUG